UAUUGUAUUCAUGGAACUAUA
Molecule: non-coding RNA, 21 nt
Filed under: Caenorhabditis elegans
Lineage: Eukaryota; Metazoa; Nematoda; Chromadorea; Rhabditida; Rhabditidae
Source: RNAcentral